Long non-coding RNA from Apodemus sylvaticus (European woodmouse), 229 nucleotides. RefSeq lists it as uncharacterized. The record is from RefSeq and is a predicted model, not a curated record. NCBI's taxonomy places the organism in Eukaryota, Metazoa, Chordata, Mammalia, Rodentia, Muridae. The transcript is spliced from 4 exons.
AUCGGAGCCAGACAAAGGCGGCGGCCAAGGCAAAGGCUUCAAAGCAACAGGUUCUUGAAGAUAUCAGGAAAAUCAAAGCUUUAGAAUUGGAAGAAUCCAAGAAGUAUGCCACAGCAAGUGAUCUGGCAUGUAUUCCAGGACGUCGUCGUCGUAAGGACCAAACCCAGGACUGUAUAUUAUGCUCAAUCGAUAGAAGCUUUAAAAAUAUCUUUCAACAUCUGGAAAAUGC